This 793-nucleotide ribosomal RNA is filed under the name uncultured archaeon. RNAcentral describes it as "bacterial SSU rRNA". It matches the Rfam family "Archaeal small subunit ribosomal RNA", at positions 85 to 876 of the family's 1478-position model. The record is from RNAcentral.
ACUGCUCAGUAACACGUGGAUAACCUGCCCUUGGGUCCGGCAUAACUCCGGGAAACUGGAGAUAAUUCCGGAUAACGCACAUAUGCUGGAAUGCUUUAUGCGUAAAAUGGAUUCGUCUGCCCAAGGAUGGGUCUGCGGCCUAUCAGGUAGUAGUGGGUGUAAUGUACCUACUAGCCUACGACGGGUACGGGUUGUGAGAGCAAGAGCCCGGAGAUGGAUUCUGAGACAUGAAUCCAGGCCCUACGGGGCGCAGCAGGCGCGAAAACUUUACAAUGCGGGAAACCGUGAUAAGGGGACACCGAGUGCCAGCAUCAUAUGCUGGCUGUCCAGGUGUGUAAAAUACACCUGUUAGCAAGGGCCGGGCAAGACCGGUGCCAGCCGCCGCGGUAACACCGGCGGCCCGAGUGGUGAUCGUGAUUAUUGGGUCUAAAGGGUCCGUAGCCGGUUUGGUCAGUCCUCCGGGAAAUCUGAUAGUUCAACUAUUAGGCUUUCGGAGGAUACUGCCAGACUUGGAACCGGGAGAGGUAAGAGGUACUACAGGGGUAGGAGUGAAAUCUUGUAAUCCCUGUGGGACCACCUGUGGCGAAGGCGUCUUACCAGAACGGGUUCGACGGUGAGGGACGAAAGCUGGGGGCACGAACCGGAUUAGAUACCCGGGUAGUCCCAGCCGUAAACGAUGCUCGCUAGGUGUCAGGCAUGGCGCGACCGUGUCUGGUGCCGCAGGGAAGCCGUGAAGCGAGCCACCUGGGAAGUACGGCCGCAAGGCUGAAACUUAAAGGAAUUGGCGGGGGAG